UACAGAGGGGGCAAGCGUUAUUCGGAAUUAUUGGGCGUAAAGGGCGCGUAGGCGGCCUGGCAAGUGGAAGGUGAAAUCCCUCGGCUUAACCGAGGAACUGCCCUCCAAACUGCUUGGCUUGAGUCCGGGAGAGGUGAGUGGAAUUCCCAGUGUAGCGGUGAAAUGCGUAGAUAUUGGGAGGAACACCAGUGGCGAAGGCGGCUCACUGGACCGGAACUGACGCUGAGGCGCGAAAGCGUGGGAAGCAAACGGG
Molecule: ribosomal RNA, 253 nt
Filed under: uncultured bacterium
Lineage: Bacteria
Description: partial 16S ribosomal RNA
Rfam family: Bacterial small subunit ribosomal RNA
Source: RNAcentral